RNAcentral lists this ribosomal RNA (429 nucleotides) under bacterium. Its description in RNAcentral is "partial 16S ribosomal RNA". It matches the Rfam family "Bacterial small subunit ribosomal RNA", at positions 355 to 776 of the family's 1533-position model. The record is from RNAcentral.
UGGGGAAUAUUGGACAAUGGGGGCAACCCUGAUCCAGCGACGCCGCGUGUGUGAAGAAGGCCUGCGGGUUGUAAAGCACUUUUAGUGGGGAUGAAAAGCCGAGGGCUAAUACCUUUCGGUCUUGACCUAACCCAAAGAAAAAGCACCGGCUAACUCUGUGCCAGCAGCCGCGGUAAUACAGAGGGUGCAAGCGUUAAUCGGAAUUACUGGGCGUAAAGCGUGCGUAGUCGGCUUUUUAAGUCGGGUGUGAAAUCCCCGGGCUCAACCUGGGAAUUGCAUUCGAUACUGGAUCGCUAGAGUUCGGCAGAGGGAAGCGGAAUUUCGGGUGUAGCGGUGAAAUGCGUAGAUAUCCGAAGGAACAUCAGUGGCGAAAGCGGCUUCCUGGACCAGAACUGACGAUCAGGCACGAAAGCGUGGGGAGCAAACAGG